Molecule: signal recognition particle RNA, 278 nt
Filed under: Microcebus murinus (gray mouse lemur)
Lineage: Eukaryota; Metazoa; Chordata; Mammalia; Primates; Cheirogaleidae
Description: Metazoan signal recognition particle RNA (ENSMICG00000029560.2)
Rfam family: Metazoan signal recognition particle RNA
About the family: The signal recognition particle (SRP) is a universally conserved ribonucleoprotein. It is involved in the co-translational targeting of proteins to membranes.
Source: RNAcentral
CCUAUAGUCCAAGGUACUUAGAGGGCUGAGGCAGGAGGAUCACUUGAACCCAGGAGUUCUGGUCUCUAGUGUGCUGUGCCCGUUGGGUGUCCACAUUAAGUUUGGCAUUAGUGUGGUGACCUCCAAGGAGUGGGGAACUACCAGGUUGCCUAAGGAGAAGUGAACUGGUCCCAAACAAAGCAGUUCAAAACUCCCAUGCUGAUCAGUAGUAGGACAGCACCCAUGAACAGCCACUAUACUCUAUCUAGUCUGGGCAACAUAGGUGAAACUCCCUCUCU